CCGUUGCCGGCGACCGGCGCACGGGUGAGUAACACGUAUGCAACCUGCCCGUGGCAGGGGGAUAAGCGGGGGAAACCCCGUCUAAUACCGCGUAACGCGGCCUUGGGGCAUCCCAAGGCCGCCAAAGGGAGCAAUCCCGGCCACGGAUGGGCAUGCGGCGCAUUAGGCAGUAGGCGGGGUAACGGCCCACCUAACCGACGAUGCGUAGGGGUUCUGAGAGGAAGGUCCCCCACACUGGUACUGAGACACGGACCAGACUCCUACGGGAGGCAGCAG
This 276-nucleotide ribosomal RNA is filed under the name uncultured bacterium. RNAcentral describes it as "partial 16S ribosomal RNA". It matches the Rfam family "Bacterial small subunit ribosomal RNA", at positions 82 to 354 of the family's 1533-position model. The record is from RNAcentral.